This 253-nucleotide unclassified non-coding RNA is filed under the name uncultured bacterium. Its description in RNAcentral is "contains 16S-23S intergenic spacer region". It matches the Rfam family "Bacterial small subunit ribosomal RNA", at positions 524 to 776 of the family's 1533-position model. The record is from RNAcentral.
UACAGAGGUGGCGAGCGUUGUUCGGAUUUAUUGGGCGUAAAGGGUCCGUAGGCGGUUCGGAAAGUCGGAUGUGAAAUCCCAGAGCUCAACUCUGGAACUGCAUUCGAAACUCCCGGACUCGAGUGUGAGAGGGGUGAAGGGAAUUCCCGGUGUAAGGGUGAAAUCUGCAGAGAUCGGGAAGAACACCUGUCGCGAAGGCGCUUCACUGGCUCACAACUGACGCUGAGGGACGAAAGCUAGGGUAGCAAACGGG